Molecule: ribosomal RNA, 761 nt
Filed under: Prevotella melaninogenica
Lineage: Bacteria; Pseudomonadati; Bacteroidota; Bacteroidia; Bacteroidales; Prevotellaceae
Description: bacterial SSU rRNA
Rfam family: Bacterial small subunit ribosomal RNA
Source: RNAcentral
GAUGAACGCUAGCUACAGGCUUAACACAUGCAAGUCGAGGGGAAACGGCAUUGAGUGCUUGCACUCUUUGGACGUCGACCGGCGCACGGGUGAGUAACGCGUAUCCAACCUUCCCAUUACUGUGGGAUAACCUGCCGAAAGGCAGACUAAUACCGCAUAGUCUUCGAUGACGGCAUCAGAUUUGAAGUAAAGAUUUAUCGGUAAUGGAUGGGGAUGCGUCUGAUUAGCUUGUUGGCGGGGUAACGGCCCACCAAGGCAACGAUCAGUAGGGGUUCUGAGAGGAAGGUCCCCCACAUUGGAACUGAGACACGGUCCAAACUCCUACGGGAGGCAGCAGUGAGGAAUAUUGGUCAAUGGACGGAAGUCUGAACCAGCCAAGUAGCGUGCAGGAUGACGGCCCUAUGGGUUGUAAACUGCUUUUGUAUGGGGAUAAAGUUAGGGACGUGUCCCUAUUUGCAGGUACCAUACGAAUAAGGACCGGCUAAUUCCGUGCCAGCAGCCGCGGUAAUACGGAAGGUCCAGGCGUUAUCCGGAUUUAUUGGGUUUAAAGGGAGCGUAGGCUGGAGAUUAAGUGUGUUGUGAAAUGUAGACGCUCAACGUCUGAAUUGCAGCGCAUACUGGUUUCCUUGAGUACGCACAACGUUGGCGGAAUUCGUCGUGUAGCGGUGAAAUGCUUAGAUAUGACGAAGAACUCCGAUUGCGAAGGCAGCUGACGGGAGCGCAACUGACGCUUAAGCUCGAAGGUNCGGGUAUCAAACAGG